AUGCAUGUGGACUAGAAAAUUGAAUCCAGAAACACCUCGUUAAAAGCGAGUCUGGAUAAAGGGAGAAAUAUGAUCAUGGCGAGUUAUCCAUUGAAGGAUGCAGAGCACCACAUUAGAAAAUUUGAUGAAUGGUAGGAAAAAAAAAAAAUGAGAGAAGAUGGAGUGUUUGGGGAAUUAGAGGGGCCCCCUCCAAACACUUCACAACGUGGUUUUUAUUUGGAUACUCUAAAAAAUAGAUUGUCACAAGCUCGUGAAAAAAUGGCUGGUGCUGGUGUGUUCGGACGAGACAAACACCAGAAGGAAGAAACAAAACUUUUGGAUUUGAUUAGACAAACCCAGUUCAAUUUUAGUAACUAUUUUUCUGACAAGGACCCUGAACAGGAACAGGUGGAGCAAAACGGGGCUCAGGGAGGUGAGCAGGCACUCGACACUUCAGAGGAUGCCUGUUAUGGAGUUGCGUGAAGGUCAGAUAAAUUGUGAAAUAAGGCCUACAGAGGAAGAAUUGGGACAAGAGGUACGAAAGGAGUUUCAGAUGCAAGAUUUAAUAGAGGAGGUGGUAAAU
This is a long non-coding RNA of Cyprinodon tularosa, 562 nucleotides long. RefSeq lists it as uncharacterized. The transcript has 2 exons. The record is from RefSeq and is a predicted model, not a curated record. NCBI's taxonomy places the organism in Eukaryota, Metazoa, Chordata, Actinopteri, Cyprinodontiformes, Cyprinodontidae.